GCAUUGGUGGUUCAGUGGUAGAAUUUUUGCCUUUCAUGCAAGAGACCUGGUUCGAUUCCCGAUUAGUUCA
RNAcentral lists this transfer RNA (70 nucleotides) under Loxodonta africana (African savanna elephant). It matches the Rfam family "tRNA". From Rfam's summary of the family: Transfer RNA (tRNA) molecules are approximately 80 nucleotides in length. Their secondary structure includes four short double-helical elements and three loops (D, anti-codon, and T loops). Further hydrogen bonds mediate the characteristic L-shaped molecular structure. tRNAs have two regions of fundamental functional importance: the anti-codon, which is responsible for specific mRNA codon recognition, and the 3' end, to which the tRNAs corresponding amino acid is attached (by aminoacyl-tRNA synthetases). tRNAs cope with the degeneracy of the genetic code in two manners: having more than one tRNA (with a specific anti-codon) for a particular amino acid; and 'wobble' base-pairing, i.e. permitting non-standard base-pairing at the 3rd anti-codon position. The record is from Rfam by way of RNAcentral. Lineage: Eukaryota; Metazoa; Chordata; Mammalia; Proboscidea; Elephantidae.